CGGCAAGAGAGGGGAGAAGGCCCGGGGAAGACGCUCGGGACCAAGAUGCGGGGCCCGGGUGCGAGCAGCUGAACCUCUCGGCCCCCAGGCGUGGUGACCUGGGUGGCGACGCUCGUGGAGGCCGAGGAGCUUCUGGACCGGCGCUUCGGGGGACCAAGUGGAGAGGCUGCUGGAGUUGUCGCCUGAGUCCUCCCUUAGUUCUUCGCGCCGGCCUCGCCCACGGCUCCGGGUCCCAGCCGCCACUGCAGUCUCCGCAGCACCGAGCGGGGCUCCACCGACUCGCGACCUCCAGCCUCCGCCUCAAGGGCAGGGAGCGCGGCUGGGUCUCUGGAAAGCCAUUUUUAAAUCACUGCCUCUGCUGCCCCCAUGUGAGGUCGGAGUGUCCUCCCCCGUCUUUGCUUUCAGGUUCUUUCAGGUUCCUUUGGGCAAACCCGCAGCUAAGAGUCCAGCUUGUGAACUUGAACCUGAACUUGCUGAAGAAGCUCCCGGCGGCCCCCUGCUGUCUGCGGCCUUUGUUUGAGGGAGAGGCUGGGGUCACCCGGUUGGGCCGCAUUUCCGGGGCCGUCACCUGUCGGGCUGCCAGGCCGCGCGUACCUUGUCCCAUCGGGGGCUCUGCUCUGCCCCCUGCGCUGAUGACGCGGGUGGAAGGGAGGUAUCAGGGGCACUCUGGGGAGCUGUACCUGGCGGGCACCCCCCAGCUGCUCUCCGUGGGGUACGACACCGAGACCUGGUUGGGCUGCAAGGAGACCGACUGGGAUUCCCGGGCUGGUGGCCGGGGAGACGAAGGCGGGGGGUGAGAGGCAGGAACCCAGGAGGCCCCAGGCCCAGCGCUGUGGGGCUGCUGUUGUCGUUCUGCGUGGAGGUCUGGCCAAACUGGCUUUUGCCCCGAGUGAGGAAUUCCUGCUCUUUUUUGGUUUUGGUAAGAGGUCGCUAUUCACAGAGGGGGCGGGGUUCGUCCCCUCCAGGCGAGUACGGGGCUGGCGGGCGCAGUGCUGCCUUUCUGCUCUGUCUCUUGAUCCCGCUUAGGAUCUUUGUGGCUCCUCUGAGUCUUCUUAGAGAGGCCGUGAAAGAUGGGAAAGGCAGGUUGCUGAAACGCUGCUGCUCGGGGCUGGCAGAGACCCUGGUAUAGGGAAGGCGCACCACUGUGGGUCAGAUCAGCUGACAGUGGGGGUUUUAGGUGAUGGGGUAACCUUACAGUUCGGAUCUCUUAGAACCCAGAAGCAGGUAGGCGAUCGCUGCUUCAUCACACUUCACAGGGAGUCCUGGAUCUUUCCUGUCCGUAACCCAUGGACGCCAUGAUUCAGUAUGGCGGAGGUCCGGGGCUUAAGUUCCUGUUCAUGCUUCCUAAUCAUUCAUGGAUCCAUCACAAUGUGCUCUGAAGGGCCUCUCUUGCUGGGAUUGAGAAGGAUACAUUUUUUGAGCAGGUUUUUAUACUCAAUGGACAUGUAGAAGGGAAUAUAUUCUACUCAGUUCCCCUCCUGCAGCUCCUUGAAAUUCUGUCCAUCAAAAGCAGGGAUCUGCUGACCAGAGGUGACUGCCACAGAAGGUAUCCAGUUUGUAAAAGCUGAAUUUGUUGCUGAAGCCAGAAUUUGCAAUCUUGAUGUUUGUGUUAACAUCCAAGAGCGUGUUUUCUGCCUUUAAAUCUCUGUGGACAAUACGUUUCUGGUGACAGCUUGCACAGCAGACACUUUUGGUAGAAUUUGCUUCAGUCCUUUUUUUUUCUUUCCUGCUGCCAUGAGCAGGUAUUCACAAACUUCUCCUCCUGGCUAGUGUGCUUCAUGACAAAGCAAAGAGAUUCCUCAAUAUCGAUCACAGCAAAUGUUUCACUAUGUUGGGGUGAUCCGAGCCUUCAUGGUUCCUACUUUGUGGAUGGUGUCUGGAGGAGAUCUGCUGAGUCUCAUCAAUGAACUUCACAGCUGCUGCUUUCCCAGUUAAGAGGUCCCAGGCCAACCUUACCUUAGCCAGGUUGCCCUUGACGAUGGUCUCAAGGAUCCUAGCUGCCAGUAAGGGUCCCUUCUCAGCAGAGAUGGCUGAGAGGCCCUGUGGCAUGUGAGACUUACUGCUGGGCUUGGAGUCAAGGUGUCCCAGGUCAGCUUAAUUUCGGGAAAAACUGGUAAGACGCUUGGUUCAAAUCACUUGAAAAGAAAAUCACUUGCAUAGUUCACCUGAAGAAUGGAUCUCUAUAAUGGAAUUAAAGCACAAUGCUGGACAAAAAGUAAGAAAAAGCAACAAACUGAAAGGAAAAAUUGAGUAAAAAGAAUAAAGAACUAGAACUGGCAACCUCAGCCAAGCCAGGGAAUUACAUACAUCUUGGAAUUCCAAAGCAAUGCUUCCUUAUGAGGGCAUAGGAAGAAAUAAAUCUAAUAACAAGGCUGGGAUUAAUUCACGUGGUUUUCUCACAUUUUGGUCUCAAGAACUUUUUACUCUAAAACUAAUUAUUGAGGACCCCAAAGAGCUUUUUAUGUGGGUUAUAGUUAUCAGUAUUUACUUUAUUGGAAAUUAAAACCUGUAGGAUGUUUCAGUGGUCUUUUCUAGUUUGAAGGGUUUAAUAAUUUUUGGCUUUUAAAGAGCCCAUAAUCAAUUAAAAUAUUUUAUUUUCCUUUAAAUUGUAAAUGAUUGGUGUCAUAAUGAUGCUACAACUUAACUGGCAUUACAAUACUAUACAAAUACGUUCUAUUGUAUAAGUCACAAUAAGGUACAUUAUUAACUCUAUAACAUUUAGGGGAAGAUAGCUGUUAUCAUAUUAUUUAAAGUUUUGCCUAGUUUCUUUGUAGUAGACUUAUCUUUUCCAGGAGCCAGAGAACCCGCUAUAUCAGUUUCAGUAUCUUUAAAUGUAGAGAUUGCAGCUGUGUGUUGAGAAAGCACGUUUCACUUAGCAUGGGAUGGGGACUUCGAGGUACUGGAUAUGUCACUGGCACCUCAGGGGAGGAAACCAAGAUGCCCCUAUAUGAUUUUAAACAUGGUUUAUUAAAGCGUGAUACAGAAAAGUGCACAAAUUGUCCACCUACAGCUUGGUGACUGUUCACAAAUUGAACUCAUCUAACUAGCCUCCAGAAUAAGAAACAGGCCUUUACACACCCCCACCAGCCUCCCAAUCCCCUUUUCAGUCACCUUCUCUGCAGUGAUAACCACUAUUCUAUAUUCUGACAGCAUAGUUUCACUUGUUUUUUAACUUCACAUAAAUGGGAUCAGACAGUAUUGAAUCCUUUGUGUCUGCUUCCUUCACUCAAUAUUUUCCUGAGAUUUUUCUAUAUUGUUUAUUCUAAAUGCCCAUUGUACGACUGUAACACAAUUUGUUUAUCCAUUUUACUGUUCUUGGGCAUUUGGGUAGUUCUCACUGUGGAUGCUAAGAAGAGUGUUGCUAUAAACAUUCAGGUCUUUUGGUAAGCAUAUACCUGGCUUUCUGUUGGCUAUUUAUACCUAGAAAUAGAGUUGCUGGCUUAUAAGGUAUGCAUAUUUUUAGUUUUAGUAGACAUUGCAGUUUGUACCAAUUCACCCACCCACCAAUGUGAAUAUCUAAUAUUGCCUGCCUGUCUGUACGUGUGUACUGGUAUAGCAUUGUGGUUUUAAUUUGCAUUUUCCAGUGCCUAAUGAAAUAAAGCACCUUUUAAUAUGCU
This 3617-nucleotide long non-coding RNA is filed under the name Homo sapiens (human). Its description in RNAcentral is "non-protein coding LINC00865:8". Lineage: Eukaryota; Metazoa; Chordata; Mammalia; Primates; Hominidae. The record is from RNAcentral.